AGAGUUUGAUCCUGGCUCAGAAUCAACGCUGGCGGCGUGCCUAACACAUGCAAGUCGAGCGAGAAAGGGUAGCAAUACCUGAGUAAAGCGGCGCACGGGUGAGUAACACGUGGAUAACCUGCCUCGAGGUGGGGGAUAACACCGGGAAACCGGUGCUAAUACCGCAUACCCUGACGAGAUCUGCGGAUUUUGUCAGUAAAGGAGCAAUUCGCUUUGAGAGGGGUCCGCGGCUGAUUAGCUAGUUGGCGAGGUAACGGCUCACCAAGGCAUCGAUCAGUAGCCGGUCUGAGAGGACGGUCGGCCACACUGGAACUGAGACACGGUCCAGACUCCUACGGGAGGCAGCAGUGGGGAAUUUUUGGCAAUGGGGGAAACCCUGACCAAGCAACGCCGCGUGGAUGAUGAAGUAUCUUGGUACGUAAAAUCCUUUCGACGGGGACGAAGCCGCAAGGUUGACGGUACCCGUAGAAGAAGCCCCGGCUAACUCCGUGCCAGCAGCCGCGGUAAU
RNAcentral lists this ribosomal RNA (508 nucleotides) under uncultured soil bacterium. RNAcentral's name for it is "bacterial SSU rRNA". It matches the Rfam family "Bacterial small subunit ribosomal RNA", at positions 8 to 524 of the family's 1533-position model. The record is from RNAcentral.